RNAcentral lists this ribosomal RNA (513 nucleotides) under uncultured bacterium. RNAcentral's name for it is "partial 16S ribosomal RNA". It matches the Rfam family "Bacterial small subunit ribosomal RNA", at positions 28 to 523 of the family's 1533-position model. The record is from RNAcentral.
GACGAACGCUGGCGGCAUGCCUAAUACAUGCAAGUCGAGCGAACAGAUGAAGUGCUUGCACUUCUGACGUUAGCGGCGAACGGGUGAGUAACACGUAAGGAAUCUACCUAUAAGCGGGGGAUAACAUUCGGAAACGGGUGCUAAUACCGCAUAAUAUCUUCUUCCGCAUGGAAGAAGAUUGAAAGACGGCUCUGCUGUCACUUAUAGAUGACCUUGCGGUGCAUUAGUUAGUUGGUGGGGUAACGGCCUACCAAGACGAUGAUGCAUAGCCGCACUGAGAGGGUGAUCGGCCACAGUGGGAAUGGGACACGGCCCAAACUCCGCCGGGAGGCAGCAGUAGGGAAUCUUCCGCAAUGGCCGAAAGCCUGACGGAGCAAGGCCGCGUGGGUGAAGAAGGCCUUCGGGUCGUAAAACUCUGUUAUAAGAGAAGAACAAAUUGUAGAGUAACUGCUACAGUCUUGACGGUAUCUUAUCAGAAAGCCACGGCUAACUACGUGCCAGCCGCCGCAGUAA